GUCUGCAGUCAUGCUGUAAUUUUUGCCCGAAGACCUUAUCAGAUCUCAUAAAUUAAACAGAGAUGGGCCUGGACAGUACUUGAAUGGGAGCACUCCAAGGAAAUACAGAGGAGCUGCAGGAC
Chelonoidis abingdonii (Abingdon island giant tortoise) is the source of this 122-nucleotide ribosomal RNA. Lineage: Eukaryota; Metazoa; Chordata; Testudines; Testudinidae. The record is from Ensembl.